Molecule: RNA transcript, 2122 nt
Organism: Rana temporaria (common frog)
Lineage: Eukaryota; Metazoa; Chordata; Amphibia; Anura; Ranidae
Gene: SRSF1
Gene name: serine and arginine rich splicing factor 1
Exons: 5
Source: RefSeq, a predicted model, not a curated record
UCUGUGUGUGAGACAGAAGGGGAGCUCGGCUUUCCCGCAUAAAUAAUCUCCUUACGGCGCACUGCCGCCUUAGUAGGUUUCUAGUAUCGCUGUGUGUCUCCUCCCUACACAGAGCGCCGUGUACGCGGAAGGUUACAUUCUCACAUUCUGCUGUUGGCUGAAUUCGUGCGCGAGGCAGUGCAAAGAAAGGAAGAGCGCUCUUGUAGUCGCCAUUUUAGGUUGCUCCGUUGACUGCAGCUGAUAAGCGGCAUUGGCUUCUGCCAUUUCUUUUUUUCUAACCUCCUCUCUGAACUCGUUCCUUUUCAAUGGAUUUGUCAGGGGGUGGUGUGAUAAGGGGGCCGGCGGGUAAUAACGACUGUCGGAUAUAUGUGGGGAACCUGCCGCCAGACAUCCGCACCAAGGACAUAGAGGACGUGUUCUACAAGUACGGCGCCAUCCGAGACAUUGACCUCAAGAACCGGCGCGGAGGGCCGCCUUUUGCUUUCGUGGAGUUCGAGGACCCCAGGGAUGCUGAAGAUGCAGUGUAUGGAAGAGAUGGCUAUGAUUAUGAUGGCUAUCGUCUACGUGUAGAGUUUCCAAGAAGUGGCAGAGGAGCUGGUGGAAGGGGUGGCGGUGGAGGAGGCGGCGGCGGUGGAGGAGGAGGAGGCGGUGGUGGAGGAGGUGGUGGCGGCGGUGGUGGAGGAGGUGGCGGUGGUGGUGGAGGAGCUGCUCGUGGAAGAUAUGGGCCUCCAUCCAGGCGUUCAGAAUACAGAGUAGUAGUAUCAGGACUUCCUCCAAGUGGAAGCUGGCAGGACUUGAAGGAUCACAUGCGUGAAGCAGGUGAUGUAUGUUACGCUGAUGUUUACCGAGAUGGUACUGGUGUCGUGGAGUUUGUGCGAAAAGAAGAUAUGACCUAUGCAGUGCGGAAACUGGAUAACACUAAAUUUAGGUCACAUGAGGGAGAAACUGCCUACAUUCGUGUAAAAGUCGAUGGUCCAAGAAGCCCAAGCUAUGGAAGAUCGCGUUCUCGCAGUCGUAGUCGUAGCAGAAGCCGUAGUAGAAGCAACAGUCGCAGCCGCAGCUACUCUCCAAGAAGAAGCCGAGGAUCCCCUCGCUACUCUCCCCGUCACAGCAGAUCUCGUUCCCGCACAUAAAUAGAUAAAAGUGAAGUGAUGCUUCUUUUGUAGCCCCUCAUGUUGUAUACAGUUACUUUAUUCAGUACUUUUUUAAUUCACUGUUUUAUUAAAGUUUUGAAGCGCUAAGCCUUCUGCUUAGAAUAGUAAGGCUAAUGCUUACACCAGUAUCUUCCUUUUCCAUUCCUUCAUGCCCAAAAAGCGUAUUUAGCAGUUGUAGGUAUAAUUUCACAAGUCGACCAGCCUCUCUUCAGAAGCACCAGUGUUGUGGUGUGUUGUCUGCAAUGUGUGGUGGCGGUGGGGAUUUGGGGUGGUUGUGGUAUAAAUAUUAACUUUUUUUUUCUCCUUUCAUUUGUGGGGAAAUCUUGUUUUUACCUUGCUUUCCAUGUGUCUUUCUGUAGACAUAACUGAAGAGAUGGAUUAUGGAGGACAUUUCAAUCAUUUUAGGAUUUUCAGAUGGAGGCAUGAGGAGGAUCAGAUCAAAAAUGGAGGCCAUGGUUUGGAUUGGAGAGGGCUCACUGGAUCCCAAUCCUGGAGCUGUGGAUCAUUGGAUUCAAAUCAUAGGAAGGAGUGAAUAGGAUAGGGAUGAAUUGCCAAGAUUCAUGGAGCGGGAUCAGAUAACAAGAACAUAGGAGUGGAUUCCUGCCCCAUCUAAACCCCAUUCGUGUGGAAUCUUUUUCCUAAUCAUCCAAUUGGCUAUUCUAUAGAAUUUUUUUUUUUUUUUUUUUUUUUUUCUUUUUUAUACAAGUGGAGCGCUUAGGAUGCCAGAAGGAGUUGCACGUUUUUUCUUUUUGUUAAAAAGCAAAGAGGAGACCAGAGGCACGCUGGAGCCAUCCCCUGGGACGGAUACAGCACCAAUAGAUGGUAAUUAAAAGGGAUAAUGGGAGGGCUGAAUUGAAAUUAGUAAAUUUAUAUCUAAUUUGAAGGGGUUGGAUUUUAAAUUUUUUAUCUAGGAUUUCAAUUGGCCUUUGAGGAUUUUGCUGCUGAAUAAUAAAUGAAUAAAAAGUUAA